UUGGGUUUUUAUUGGUGAGGAAGAAUAAUAAGAAGACAGAGAAGUAGGCACUCACGCAACCCUCUCUCACCGCCGUCUCAUCUCCUCCGCGGCUCCGCCGCCUUCGCCUCCCCUCCCCUCCCACCUCAGCGCCGCUGCCUCUGUCUGCUCCGCCUCGCUCUCCUCCGUCCCUUCACGCGCCACGCCGCCUCCACAGGGUCCAGCCUCCACCGGAGCCGAUCUCUCCGCUGAGCACGCCCCGCGCCGCCGUUGCUGCCAAGGGCUCCUUGGGGCCGUUGCAGCCGGGGAGGCGGCCUGCAGGAGGGCCCUAAAUGCGGCCGACGACUCCAUCCCCGGUCGCAUGUGGCGGCAGCCAGCCCAGCUCCGCCUCUUCCAGCCCAUCUUCUUGGGCAUCAUUGGUAGUGAAGAAGGACUCUUGCAGCUGCGAAAUAUUAGAAGAGGAAAAUCUUAUGGUUUGAAGGGUUCAGAUCCAUAAUCUGAUAAUAUUAGGACCCUUGAUCCUUCAACCAUUAUGAGAUUUCAAGGCAGAUAGUGCAACUUGUACUGUUUACCUUGAUUAAAUCAAUGCCUUCUGUAGCUUAAGGUUUAAUUAGCAGACUACUAAUGCUUUGAUAUUCUCCUUUCUGAAUUCCAUACUUGGUACAACAAUGUUCCUCACCCGGUCACCCCAAACUGGUGGAAUAUAAGAACGAUCGGAACUGGGACACAAUGUCCGGUGACUAUCUUGUUUUCCCUGGAGGCGGGACUCAAUUCAAAUAUGAUGUUGCAAGAUACAUACAGUUUGUAGAACAGGUGCUACGUGACUUCACUGGUCGCAUUAUUGACUGAGAUUUCGAGUACGACAACUUCACAAAAAUGGCACAAAAAAUCCUGUGCUACAAAGGCUAGCUUCAUAGUGUCCAUGGCAUGUUGAUGGCUAGCUCUACUGCGUCUACACCGUGGAGCUCGAAGGCUGCUGCUAUUACUUCUUGCGCCAUUAUUUGGCAACCUACUGCUGCAGUCUCCAGAGAUGACACCAUUAGUAUGGGUCAGUUGCAUUGGUGACGCUGAGCACAAAGCUAUGAAUCCACUCCCUUUUGCUCUGGACUGUGUUUGGUUAUGGCGUAAACUGGCUAUCUCGACAACAUUUAUGCUGAAGUUAUCGACCCUCCAAAGAAUGGGAUGUUAGAUGUCAUAGAACUUGUCUGUGGUGUUAUCAAGCAUUCACGGAAUCCAAAUGUCAUGGUUUCUAGAAAUGGGCGUGAGCUAUUGGAAUGCCCCAUGUGUUUGGUUCCCAUGUAUCCUCCAAUUCAUCAGUGCUCCAAUGUCCAUGCUAUUUGUUCUGAAUGCAAGCCAAGGGUUCAUAAAUGCUUUGGAGAAGGUUGGCGCCUCUCUAGAGGUUCUGUACAAGUUCCAGAACUUUGGAUGCUUGGGAAUAUAUCCUUAUUAUUGCAAGUUGAAACAUGAAUCAGAGUGUCAAUACAGACCAUAUACUGGCCCACAUGCAGGUUUUAAAUUUUUGUGGAUUUAUGUGAUGGAAUCUUGAUAUGUCGAGAAUGCGUCGAGAAAAUGCAACAUGACUUGUUGUUUGAAGUUACAACCUUACAGGGGCAUCGACUCAAAUUUGCAACGACGAAUUUUAUACCAUGCUUGUGUAGCUCAGUCUGUGGCGGGCGAGGCGUGGGAGGUGACGAUGACGAAUGAUAUGGUGGUCAGCAGAUAAAAGAAGCCGUUCAUCUCCAUUGCCCAGUUGGGGCCUCUUAGGGGACUAAUCUAGCAUCGGGCGUUACAGGAGGAGAGACGCUCUCAUGGAUUAGGAUGUUGCACAUCAUUGACGGGUCAUUCCAUGGAUUAGGAUGUUGCACAUCAUCGACGGGUCAUUCCAUGGAUUAGGAUGUUGCACAUCAUCGACGGGUCAUUCCGCAUGCUGCUCUUGUUGAUUUGUUCUUGACAUAUCCUCUGUGGUGUUGUUCCUUUUGAACCACUUGGUGGUUUAUAUUAGCAAGUACUAUCAUUUGGUCACUUUUGAACCACCGAUAUUGUAUGCGAUCAGUCCUCUAAACAAUAAAACUAUUGCUUUUGUGUAGUA
This is a long non-coding RNA of Triticum dicoccoides, 2068 nucleotides long. RefSeq lists it as uncharacterized. The record is from RefSeq and is a predicted model, not a curated record. The transcript has 10 exons. Lineage: Eukaryota; Viridiplantae; Streptophyta; Magnoliopsida; Poales; Poaceae.